UUAAAUUGAAGAGUUUGAUCAUGGCUCAGAUUGAACGCUGGCGGCAGGCCUAACACAUGCAAGUCGAGCGGAAACGAGUUAUCUGAACCUUCGGGGAACGAUAACGGCGUCGAGCGGC
This 118-nucleotide ribosomal RNA is filed under the name Vibrio parahaemolyticus. RNAcentral's name for it is "partial 16S ribosomal RNA". It matches the Rfam family "Bacterial small subunit ribosomal RNA", at positions 1 to 99 of the family's 1533-position model. Lineage: Bacteria; Pseudomonadati; Pseudomonadota; Gammaproteobacteria; Vibrionales; Vibrionaceae. The record is from RNAcentral.